RNAcentral lists this ribosomal RNA (945 nucleotides) under Triticum aestivum (bread wheat). Its description in RNAcentral is "partial small subunit ribosomal RNA". Lineage: Eukaryota; Viridiplantae; Streptophyta; Magnoliopsida; Poales; Poaceae. The record is from RNAcentral.
AUGAGGCAUUUCAUAAUAACAAACUGUGAGGAAACCGCGCCAUGGAUUGAUGAACAUCUUGAGGAGCUCAGAAGGAAUAAUUCUCCUAAUCCUAAAAAGCAACACAAGGAAGAGUUUGUUGGUUGGUUUGAGAGACGGAUCACAGAACUCCACAAUGAUGGGAAGGUCAACAAUCUUAUUUAUGCACUAGCUAAAGGACCUGAUCACCUAGCUCGGGUAUACAACCGUACAGUUCUGAAUGGAUAUUUCUUUCGGAAUUCCUAUAUAGAGCAAGACUUGAGUACCCAAAAUAGUGGCGCCAUAGUCAAGGGUGAUGCAAACACAGGAAAUAUUGAUUAUUACGGGGUUAUCAAGAAAAUCAUAUUUCUUGACUUUCCUCCUGAUAAGGAGGUUGUUCUAUUCCAGUGUGACUGGUUUGAUGUGCCUCCUGCCAAAAGAACUGAGAGUAAGGGGUAUAAGAAGGACAAAUAUGGAAUUAUUGACAUUGACACUACUCUACACCAAUUCCAGGGAGACCCUUACAUUCUAGGCCUCCAAGCUCAACAGGUUUUCUAUGUGAGAGAUGUGAAGAACCCUGAUUGGGCAGCUGUUAUUAAAAUGAAUCCACGAAAUUUGUUUGCUCCUUCUGUUUUAAAUGGUGUAGGCCUUGAUGAAGCUGUUGAAGCCGAUGAGGGUGGUGAGGCAGAUGUACUGGAUGUCGUCGAUGCAGAAAUUAUAGUGCCAAAAAUUACAGUACCUGAAGAGAUCACUAGUUGGUGUAGAAAUGAUGACGAAGGAUCCAGCAUUGAAGUUUCAGUCAUAGAAAAUAUAAAACCUAUUGAGUUUGAAGAUGUCCAAUUCGAAUCUGAUGAUGAUACGGAUGAUGAUGAGGCUUACGUAAAUGAUGGCCAUGUUGCUCCUUUGGGACAAGAAGAAUUGGAUGAUGACCAGGGGUUCUUUAUAUAG